RNAcentral lists this ribosomal RNA (457 nucleotides) under uncultured microorganism. Its description in RNAcentral is "bacterial SSU rRNA". It matches the Rfam family "Bacterial small subunit ribosomal RNA", at positions 346 to 792 of the family's 1533-position model. The record is from RNAcentral.
GUGCAGCAGGCGAGAAUAUUGGACAAUAGGCGCAAGCCAGAUCCAGCGACGCCGCGUGAAGGAUGAAGGCUUUUUGUUGUAAACUUCUUUUAGAAGGGAAGAUGGGGUACAAUGUUAAUACCAUUGUAUCCUGACGCUACCUUCAGAAAAAGCUCCGGCUAACUCCGCGCCAGCAGCCGCGGUAAUACGGAGGGAGCAGGCGUUGUCCGGAAUCACUGGGCGUAAAGGGAGCGUAGGUGGAUAUAUAAGUUGGGAUGUGAAAUCUUACGAGCUUAACUGUAAAAUUGCAUCCAAUACUGUAUGUCUAGAGUUCAGAAGGGGAGAGCGGAAUCCUAGUCGUAGCGGUGAAAUGCGUAGAUAUUAGGAGGAACACGGGUGGCGAAGGCGGCUCUCUGGUCUGAUACUGACACUGAGGCUCGAAAGCUAGGGUAGCGAACAGGAUUAGAUACCCCCUGUA